This 467-nucleotide ribosomal RNA is filed under the name uncultured bacterium. RNAcentral's name for it is "partial 16S ribosomal RNA". It matches the Rfam family "Bacterial small subunit ribosomal RNA", at positions 28 to 506 of the family's 1533-position model. The record is from RNAcentral.
GACGAACGCUGGCGGCGUGCUUAACACAUGCAAGUCGAACGGAAAGGCCCUGCUUUUGUGGGGUGCUCGAGUGGCGAACGGGUGAGUAACACGUGAGUAACCUGCCCUUGACUUUGGGAUAACUUCAGGAAACUGGGGCUAAUACCGGAUAGGAGCUCCUGCUGCAUGGUGGGGGUUGGAAAGUUUCGGCGGUUGGGGAUGGACUCGCGGGUUAUCAGCUUGUUGGUGGGGUAGUGGCUUACCAAGGCUUUGACGGGUAGCCGGCCUGAGGGGGUGACCGGCCAAAUGGGGAAGGGGAUGCGCCCCAGACUCCUGGGGGGGGCAGCAGGGGGGAAUAUUGAAAGGGGGGCGGAAGCCUGAAGCAACAACGCCGGGGGGGGGACGACGGCCUUGGGGUUGAAAACCGUUUCCGCCGGUGACGAGGCGUGGGGGAGGGAAAUGGGGAAGAAACACCCGGCUAAUUACGG